UCAACCUAGUACGAGAGGAACCGUUG
Molecule: small nuclear RNA, 26 nt
Filed under: Arabidopsis thaliana (thale cress)
Lineage: Eukaryota; Viridiplantae; Streptophyta; Magnoliopsida; Brassicales; Brassicaceae
Description: snRNA_12106
Source: RNAcentral